RNAcentral lists this transfer RNA (69 nucleotides) under Ischnoptera sp. B084. RNAcentral describes it as "tRNA-Ser". It matches the Rfam family "tRNA". Rfam says of the family: Transfer RNA (tRNA) molecules are approximately 80 nucleotides in length. Their secondary structure includes four short double-helical elements and three loops (D, anti-codon, and T loops). Further hydrogen bonds mediate the characteristic L-shaped molecular structure. tRNAs have two regions of fundamental functional importance: the anti-codon, which is responsible for specific mRNA codon recognition, and the 3' end, to which the tRNAs corresponding amino acid is attached (by aminoacyl-tRNA synthetases). tRNAs cope with the degeneracy of the genetic code in two manners: having more than one tRNA (with a specific anti-codon) for a particular amino acid; and 'wobble' base-pairing, i.e. permitting non-standard base-pairing at the 3rd anti-codon position. The record is from RNAcentral. Lineage: Eukaryota; Metazoa; Arthropoda; Insecta; Blattodea; Blattellidae.
AGUUAAAUACUUAAUGAAAGUCACGUGUUUUGAAAGCACGAAUAAGGGGUUUAAAUCCCCUAUUAACUU